GCAGGAUUAGUUCAACGGGAGAACGCUAGUUUUACACACUAGAGAAAGUGGUUCGAUUCCACUAUUCUGUACCA
This 74-nucleotide transfer RNA is filed under the name compost metagenome. Its description in RNAcentral is "tRNA-Val". It matches the Rfam family "tRNA". From Rfam's summary of the family: Transfer RNA (tRNA) molecules are approximately 80 nucleotides in length. Their secondary structure includes four short double-helical elements and three loops (D, anti-codon, and T loops). The record is from RNAcentral.